RNAcentral lists this ribosomal RNA (490 nucleotides) under uncultured bacterium. RNAcentral's name for it is "partial 16S ribosomal RNA". It matches the Rfam family "Bacterial small subunit ribosomal RNA", at positions 30 to 507 of the family's 1533-position model. The record is from RNAcentral.
AUUGAACGCUGGCGGCAGGCCUAACACAUGCAAGUCGAACGGUAACAGGAAGAAGCUUGCUUCUUUGCUGACGAGUGGCGGACGGGCGAGUAAUGUCUGGGAAACUGCCUGAUGGAGGGGGAUAACUACUGGAAACGGUAGCUAAUACCGCAUAACGUCGCAAGACCAAAGAGGGGGACCUUCGGGCCUCUUGCCAUCGGAUGUGCCCAGAUGGGAUUAGCUAGUAGGUGGGGUAACGGCUCACCUAGGCGACGAUCCCUAGCUGGUCUGAGAGGAUGACCAGCCACACUGGAACUGAGACACGGUCCAGACUCCUACGGGAGGCAGCAGCGGGGAAUAUUGCACAAUGGGCGCAAGCCUGAUGCAGCCAUGCCGCGUGUAUGAAGAAGGCCUUCGGGUUGUAAAGUACUUUCAGCGGGGAGGAAGGGAGUAAAGUUAAUACCUUUACUCAUUGACGUUACCCGCAGAAGAAGCACCGGCUAACUCCGUG